AUUGAAUCAACUGGUCACUUUCAGGAACUUUCCCGUUUGCAAGGAGAGGGAGACAGGAGCUGAGGAUGGGGUGAUGGUGUCCUCUCCAGGAACGGGGGACCAGCCUGGCCGGUUCUGAAGCAGGACAGGGGCAGCAGUCUAGAGACCAGGUGAAUGCUGCAGGCGCCUCAUUUAACCCUCGCCAGGACCCUCCGAGUCUGAACUCCAUCAACGCAAUGAGAGGGCUGAUCACAUUCACCUCCUAUCCCCAGGGCCUCGUCCAGACCCUGGCUUCAGCAGGUGCUCAAUAACUGGGGUGAAAGUGGACUAGACGCACGGCUGAAUAUCUCAACGAACACCUCUCUAAAAAUUGCGUUUGAAAAAUCCCAUGCGGACUCAUGCAGGGCCAUUCUUACUGACAGAAACCUUCAAAAGGCUGGAAACCCUUGUAUUCGUUUUCCGCUGUCGUCGUAAUAAAUUACCACAAAUUUACAAGCUUAAAACCACACAAAUUCAUUCUCUCACAGUUCUGUAGGUCAGAAGUCCAGGUACAGCACGGCUCCCUGGCCGAAAUUACCAGGCUGCCUUCCUUUCUGAAGAUCCUGGGGCUGAAUCACCUCCAAGUUCAUCCACGUUGUUGGCCGAAUUCAGUUCUUUGCAGUGGCGGGGCCUCAGCCCAGGGCCCCUCUCAGCUUCUUAAGGCCACAUGCAUUCCUUGGUCUGUCGCUCUCCCCG
Molecule: long non-coding RNA, 714 nt
Filed under: Equus caballus (horse)
Lineage: Eukaryota; Metazoa; Chordata; Mammalia; Perissodactyla; Equidae
Description: lncRNA (ENSECAG00000052180.1)
Source: RNAcentral